AUGGCGACGAGCAUGAUGGGUUCGCCGGUUCCUUCUACACUGGAGGUACUGUACGCGGUCGCGGCCGCGGGCAUCGCGUGGUGCGCCGUGCGGGCGCUGGAGUGGGCGUGGUGGAGGCCCCGGCGCCUGGACCGGGCGCUGCGGUCGCAGGGCCUCCGCGGCACGGCCUACCGCCCGGUGGCCGCCUCCGUGCAGCUCAGCCAGCAGCUCAACAAGGAGGCGAGGUCCCGGACCAUGCGCUGGGCUGCCACGACGUCGUGCCGCGGGCGAUGCCGCUCCUCCACCAGGCCGCCAAGGAGCACGGUAAAAUGUCCUUCACCUGGCUUGGACCGGUGCCUAGAGUGA
This 345-nucleotide ribosomal RNA is filed under the name Triticum aestivum (bread wheat). Its description in RNAcentral is "partial small subunit ribosomal RNA". Lineage: Eukaryota; Viridiplantae; Streptophyta; Magnoliopsida; Poales; Poaceae. The record is from RNAcentral.